GGGAUAUUGCACAAUGGGGGGAACCCUGAUGCAGCGACGCCGCGUGGGUGAAGAAGUAUUUCGGUAUGUAAAGCCCUAUCAGCAGGGAAGAAAGUGACGGUACCUGAGUAAGAAGCCCCGGCUAACUACGUGCCAGCAGCCGCGGUAAUACGUAGGGGGCAAGCGUUAUCCGGAUUUACUGGGUGUAAAGGGAGCGUAGACGGAGAGACAAGUCAGAUGUGGAAGCGACAGGCUCAGCCUGUGGAGUGCAUUUGAAACUGUAGCCCUAGAGUGCUGGAGGGGUGGGCGGAAUUCCCGGUGUAGCGGUGAAAUGCGUAGAUAUCGGGAAGAACACCGGCGGCGAAGGCGGCCCACUGGACAGCAACUGACGUUGAGGCUCGAGAGCGUGGGGAGCAAACA
RNAcentral lists this ribosomal RNA (399 nucleotides) under uncultured bacterium. RNAcentral's name for it is "bacterial SSU rRNA". It matches the Rfam family "Bacterial small subunit ribosomal RNA", at positions 358 to 774 of the family's 1533-position model. The record is from RNAcentral.